Molecule: ribosomal RNA, 390 nt
Filed under: uncultured bacterium
Lineage: Bacteria
Description: bacterial SSU rRNA
Rfam family: Bacterial small subunit ribosomal RNA
Source: RNAcentral
GACGAACGCUGGCGGCGUGCUUAACACAUGCAAGUCGAGCGGUAAGGCCCUUUCGGGGUACACGAGCGGCGAACGGGUGAGUAACACGUGGGUGACCUGCCCUCAGCUCUGGGAUAAGCCCGGGCAACUGGGUCUAAUACCGGAUAUGCUUCAUGACGCAUGUUGUGGAGUGGAAAGCCUUGUGCGGCUGAGGAUGGGCCCGCGGCCUAUCAGCUUGUUGGUGGGGUGAUGGCCUACCAAGGCGACGACGGGUAGCCGGCCUGAGAGGGCGACCGGCCACACUGGGACUGAGAUACGGCCCAGACUCCUACGGGAGGCAGCAGUGGGGAAUCUUGCGCAAUGGGCGAAAGCCUGACGCAGCGACGCCGCGUGAGGGAUGACGGCCUGUGU